Molecule: long non-coding RNA, 553 nt
Organism: Dermacentor andersoni
Lineage: Eukaryota; Metazoa; Arthropoda; Arachnida; Ixodida; Ixodidae
Source: RefSeq, a predicted model, not a curated record
ACAAGCCCCAACCAACUACACUUUCAAUAAUUCCCUCAUAGGGGACUUGGAGCCCACGCACCCGUUCCAGAGAAUCACAGGCGGCGCUUCCUUUAAGGUCACCAGGGACCUCCGGUGGAGUGAUGUUCCUCCUGCUAGUAUCAUGGACCUGGGAGCUGUCGAAGGGCACGUUGAGAUCGACGGAACGCCUAUCGUCAGACUUACAUGGACUUGGCCUGGUGCUCAUAUGACACACGGAGUGGGACCAGGUAACUACCCUGAACGAUGAAGUGUGUACGCGUACCAGCUGCAUUGAGAACAGUGAAGAAAGCAUUGACUGAUGUGUAUGCACCCUACCAGCUGACGUCCCACACAGCGGUUUCUCCGAGGACGUGAGUCGACUAAAGGAUAGACGGAUGGUUCUCAAGGCUGCUGGUGUUGACAUGGUCGAUGUCUCGCGGUCGGCCAUCUCGCGGGAGCGGCAAAGACGAAGCGGUUGGAUAGGCGUGCGCACGUACCCCGCGCAGCACCCGCGUUCGAAGCUCGUGAACCGGCCAACGGCCCAUUUUCCAGC